This 1533-nucleotide ribosomal RNA is filed under the name Borrelia miyamotoi. RNAcentral's name for it is "bacterial SSU rRNA". It matches the Rfam family "Bacterial small subunit ribosomal RNA". The record is from RNAcentral. Lineage: Bacteria; Pseudomonadati; Spirochaetota; Spirochaetia; Spirochaetales; Borreliaceae.
ACGAAGAGUUUGAUCCUGGCUUAGAACUAACGCUGGCAGUGCGUCUUAAGCAUGCAAGUCAGACGGAAUGUAGCAAUACAUUCAGUGGCGAACGGGUGAGUAACGCGUGGAUAAUCUACCUACGAGAUGGGGAUAACUAUUAGAAAUAGUAGCUAAUACCGAAUAAAGUCAAUUAAGAUGUUAGUUGAUGAAAGGAAGCCUUUAAAGCUUCGCUUGUAGAUGAGUCUGCGUCUUAUUAGCUAGUUGGUGGGGUAAGAGCCUACCAAGGCUAUGAUAAGUAACCGGCCUGAGAGGGUGAUCGGUCACACUGGAACUGAGAUACGGUCCAGACUCCUACGGGAGGCAGCAGCUAAGAAUCUUCCGCAAUGGGCGAAAGCCUGACGGAGCGACACUGCGUGAACGAAGAAGGUCGAAAGAUUGUAAAGUUCUUUUAUAAGUGAGGAAUAAGCUUUGUAGGAAAUGACAAAGCGAUGACGUUAAUUUAUGAAUAAGCCCCGGCUAAUUACGUGCCAGCAGCCGCGGUAAUACGUAAGGGGCGAGCGUUGUUCGGGAUCAUUGGGCGUAAAGGGUGAGUAGGCGGAUAUGCAAGUCUAUGUGUAAAAUACCACAGCUCAACUGUGGAACUAUGCUGGAAACUGCAUGACUAGAGUCUGAUAGGGGAAGUUAGAAUUCCUGGUGUAAGGGUGGAAUCUGUUGAUAUCAGGAAGAAUACCAGAGGCGAAGGCGAACUUCUAGGUCAAGACUGACGCUGAGUCACGAAAGCGUAGGGAGCAAACAGGAUUAGAUACCCUGGUAGUCUACGCUGUAAACGAUGCACACUUGGUGUUAAUCGAAAGGUUAGUACCGAAGCUAACGUGUUAAGUGUGCCGCCUGGGGAGUAUGUUCGCAAGAAUGAAACUCAAAGGAAUUGACGGGGGCCCGCACAAGCGGUGGAGCAUGUGGUUUAAUUCGAUGAUACGCGAGGAACCUUACCAGGGCUUGACAUAUACAGGAUAUAGUUAGAGAUAACUAUUCCCCGUUUGGGGUCUGUAUACAGGUGCUGCAUGGUUGUCGUCAGCUCGUGCCGUGAGGUGUUGGGUUAAGUCCCGCAACGAGCGCAACCCUUGUUGUCUGUUACCAGCAUGUAAAGAUGGGGACUCAGACGAGACUGCCGGUGAUAAGCCGGAGGAAGGUGAGGAUGACGUCAAAUCAUCAUGGCCCUUAUGUCCUGGGCUACACACGUGCUACAAUGGCCUGUACAAAGCGAUGCGAAACAGUGAUGUGAAGCAAAACGCAGAAAGCAGGUCUCAGUCCAGAUUGAAGUCUGAAACUCGGCUUCAUGAAGUUGGAAUCGCUAGUAAUCGUAUAUCAGAAUGAUACGGUGAAUACGUUCUCGGGCCUUGUACACACCGCCCGUCACACCACCCGAGUUGAAGAUACCCGAAGCUAUUAUUCUAACCCGCAAGGGAGGAAGGUAUCUAAGGUAUGUUUAGUGAGGGGGGUGAAGUCGUAACAAGGUAGCCGUACUGGAAAGUGUGGCUGGAUCACCUCCUU